Molecule: ribosomal RNA, 577 nt
Filed under: uncultured bacterium
Lineage: Bacteria
Description: bacterial SSU rRNA
Rfam family: Bacterial small subunit ribosomal RNA
Source: RNAcentral
CCUACGGGAGGCAGCAGUGGGGAAUCUUGCGCAAUGGCCUAACGGCUGACGCAGCGACGCCGCGUGAGGGAUGACGCUCUUCGGAGUGUAAACCUCUUUUGCCUGGAACGAACUAUCAGCAUUCGCUGAUUUGACGGUACCGGGUGAAUAAGCACCGGCUAACUCCGUGCCAGCAGCCGCGGUAAUACGGGGGGUGCGAGCGUUGUCCGGAAUCACUGGGCGUAAAGGGCGCGUAGGUGGCAUGAUAAGGGUGUGGUGAAAGCCCGGGGCUCAACCCCGGGUCGGCCAUGCCGACUGUCACGCUGGAGUACUGUAGGGGCAGGCGGAAUUCCGGGUGUAGCGGUGGAAUGCGUAGAGAUCCGGAGGAAGACCGGUGGCGAAGGCGGCCUGCUGGGCAGUUACUGACACUGAGGCGCGACAGCGUGGGGAGCAAACAGGAUUAGAUACCCUGGUAGUCCACGCCGUAAACGAUGGGUACUAGGUGCCUGGGGGAGCGACCCCUUGGGUGCCGGCGCUAACGCAGGAAGUACCCCGCCUGGGGAGUACGGCCGCAAGGCUGAAACUCAAAGGAAUUGAC